UGACUUAGCGGCGGACGGGUGAGUAACGCGUGGGCAACCUGCCUUACACAGGGGGAUAACAAUUAGAAAUGAUUGCUAAUACCGCAUAAGACCCCAGUGCCGCAUGGUACAGGGGUAAAAACUGAGGUGGUGUAAGAUGGGCCCGCGUCUGAUUAGGUAGUUGGUGGGGUAGAAGCCUACCAAGCCGACGAUCAGUAGCCGACCUGAGAGGGCGACCGGCCACAUUGGGACUGAGACACGGCCCAAACUCCUACGGGAGGCAGCAG
RNAcentral lists this ribosomal RNA (266 nucleotides) under uncultured bacterium. Its description in RNAcentral is "partial 16S ribosomal RNA". It matches the Rfam family "Bacterial small subunit ribosomal RNA", at positions 88 to 354 of the family's 1533-position model. The record is from RNAcentral.